This 274-nucleotide ribosomal RNA is filed under the name uncultured bacterium. Its description in RNAcentral is "partial 16S ribosomal RNA". It matches the Rfam family "Bacterial small subunit ribosomal RNA", at positions 523 to 796 of the family's 1533-position model. The record is from RNAcentral.
AUACAGAGGGUGCAAGCGUUGUUCGGAAUUAUUGGGCGUAAAGAGCAUGUAGGCGGUUCGUUAAGUCUGAUGUGAAAGCCCGGGGCUCAACCCCGGAAGUGCAUUGGAUACUGGCGAACUUGAGUACGGGAGAGGAAAGUGGAAUUUCGAGUGUAGGGGUGAAAUCCGUAGAUAUUCGAAGGAACACCAGUGGCGAAGGCGGCUUUCUGGACCGAUACUGACGCUGAGAUGCGAAAGCGUGGGGAGCAAACAGGAUUAGAAACCCUAGUAGUCC